GAAUUACGAUAUGUAAUGUGAAUUGCAGAAUUCAGUGAAUCAUCGAAUCUUUGAACGCACCUUGCGCUCUUUGGUAUUCCGAAGAGCAUGCCUGUUUGAGUGUCAUGAAUCUCUCAAAUGCAAUAAUUUUUAUUAAUUGUUGUGUUUGGACUUGGAAGUCUGUCGACGCAAGUCGACUCUUCUUAAAUGUAUUAGCUGGGGUUUAUAUAGUUGGAUCCUUGGUGUGAUAAUUAUCUACGCCUUGAAGUCCCGGUAGACUCUGCUUCAAAUCGUCUCCUAGAGACAAUAUUUGAAUCAUCUGACCUCAAAUCAGGUAGGACUACCCGCUGAACUUAA
RNAcentral lists this unclassified non-coding RNA (336 nucleotides) under uncultured Ceratobasidiaceae. Its description in RNAcentral is "sequence contains ITS1". The stretch from base 1 to 105 matches the Rfam family "5.8S ribosomal RNA", at positions 50 to 154 of the family's 154-position model. Lineage: Eukaryota; Fungi; Basidiomycota; Agaricomycetes; Cantharellales; Ceratobasidiaceae. The record is from RNAcentral.